CGGCAACUACAGUGAAGAAGAAAUGGACCAUUUGGUUGAGGAGUUGUUGUCGUGACCCUCUUGUUUUUGUAAUUGAUAUAAAGUCAAAAAGCCGCCACAACGCAACAAAAAAAAUACCCGGUCAGGGCUCUAAUUGCAUCUAACCUGCACUGUUUGCGAAAUAUCGUUGGACACACUGGGCUUUGUAACUAGCUAGAUAAUCCCAUAGCCAGCUAGCGUUAGCUACAAUUGCUAGCUCUAGUACACAUUUGGGUCUGUGAGGAUGGCGGAGGAGGAAGACGAAGCUGGUUUUGACGAUGAUUUGGAUGACGGGGCGGGUGGAGCCGAUGGGAACCACGGCAAAAGGAAAAGGCUGUUCUCUAAAGAACUUCGGUGUAUGAUGUAUGGAUUUGGAGAUGACCAGAAUCCCUACACCGAGUCGGUGGAUAUCCUGGAGGACCUUGUGAUCGAGUUCGUCACGGAGAUGACACACAAAGCCAUGUCCAUCGGACGCCAGGGCCGUGUCCAGGUGGAGGACAUUGUUUUCCUUAUCCGGAAAGAUCCAAGGAAGUUUGCCCGAGUGAAAGACCUCUUGACGAUGAACGAGGAGCUGAAGAGAGCCCGCAAGGCCUUUGAUGAAGCGAACUAUGGCUCUUAGAGCCUCUGAUAGAGGGAUUUGGCCUUCACUGCAAAUACACGCCUUCUUAUCCUUUUUUAAACUUCUCUUUCACAUUGUCCAAGCUGUUUAUUCUGCUUUGAUCAUUGGACAUGUUUUUUUAAAGGAUUUAAAGUUGUUGCAGAUGUGAACAUAGAGAUAGUGUUUAUUGACCACCAACUUGUGACUACAGAUAUGUUUGUGCUCAUGUGAAAUGCUUAUGCCUUCUACAGACAUCUUUCUAUUUUUAUUUAACUAGGCAAGUCAGUUAAUAACAAAUUCUUAUUUACAAUGACUGCCUAGGACUAGGGGCAGAACGACAGAUUUUUACCUUGUCGGCUUGGAUUCGAUCAAGUAACCUUUAUGCUCUAUCCACAAGGCUACCUGCCGCCCCAUUAACAUACACACAUAUAAUACUAGAAAGUAGUUGUAUUUAUCGUAUACUGUGCUGUAUCCACAGAAGGACAUCACAUUGCAGUAUCAAUCAUUAGGUCCCGUGAGGAAAUGUCUCUUAGGUGAGAAUUGUUGUCCUGUUUAUCAGUAAGGAUAGUGACACAAUGGUGGAAUGGACAUUUAUGAAUAAAGUAACAACCAAUCCUUGACACUUUC
Molecule: non-coding RNA, 1243 nt
Organism: Oncorhynchus kisutch (coho salmon)
Lineage: Eukaryota; Metazoa; Chordata; Actinopteri; Salmoniformes; Salmonidae
Source: RefSeq, a predicted model, not a curated record